This 260-nucleotide ribosomal RNA is filed under the name uncultured bacterium. Its description in RNAcentral is "partial 16S ribosomal RNA". It matches the Rfam family "Bacterial small subunit ribosomal RNA", at positions 524 to 776 of the family's 1533-position model. The record is from RNAcentral.
UACGUAGGGUGCGAGCGUUGUCCGGAAUUACUGGGCGUAAAGAGCUCGUAGGCGGUUUGUCGCGUCUGCCGUGAAAGUCCGGGGCUCAACUCCGGAUCUGCGGUGGGUACGGGGCAGACUAGAGUGAUGUAGGGGAGACUGGAAUUCCUGGGUGUAGCGGUGAAAUGCGCAGAUAUCAGGAGGAACACCGAUGGCGAAAGGGCAGGGUCUCCUGGGCAUUAACUGACGCUGAGGAGCGAAAAGCAUGGGGAGCGAACAGG